RNAcentral lists this ribosomal RNA (309 nucleotides) under uncultured bacterium. RNAcentral describes it as "partial 16S ribosomal RNA". It matches the Rfam family "Bacterial small subunit ribosomal RNA", at positions 504 to 807 of the family's 1533-position model. The record is from RNAcentral.
AGAGACAGCAGUAGCCGCGGUAAUACGUAGGGUGCAAGCGUUAAUCGGAAUUACUGGGCGUAAAGCGUGCGCAGGCGGUUCUAUAAGACAGAUGUGAAAUCCCCGGGCUCAACCUGGGAACUGCAUUUGCGACUGUAGAGCUGGAGUGCGGCAGAGGGGGAUGGAAUUCCGCGUGUAGCAGUGAAAUGCGUAGAUAUGCGGAGGAACACCGAUGGCGAAGGCAAUCCCCUGGGCCUGCACUGACGCUCAUGCACGAAAGCGUGGGGAGCAAACAGGAUUAGAUACCCCUGUAGUCCCUGUCUCUUAUAC